AUGAAAAUGAUAAUGAUGGUGAUGAAGAUGAGGUUGUGGUUAAGAAAGCAUACUCCUGUUCAAAAAACCACUUAGAUGAUCAUCAGACCCAAUACCAUGAUGAUGAUGAUGAUGAUAUUGAAGGUCUUCUCAACCCACAAGUUAACACCCCAAAACAGCAGGUGAAUGAAGUGGAGGAGACAGACCAACCAUAUGAUUUACACUCUGAUUCAGAAGAUUUACCAAAGAAGAAUGAUGCUGCAGCCACAAAUGAGCCAGAGGGGUCUGACAAUGAGUUUGACCACUUCUAUGAUUAAACCAGAAAUUCAAACAUGAAGGGGAACAAAUGGAAAGAAGAGAAACAACAAUGGAUGAAUGCAGUAGACUGAAGCUGCAAUAAUUCUGUGCUUUCAGAAAAUGAGCAAGGUGCACAGCCUAAACAGCAGCCCCGGAGGCCAGAAAGGCAGAGCAAUGAAUCGAGGAAUCCAAUUACAAAGGGAUGAAAGGGAAAGAAAGGGAUAAAUAGAUGGCUGGGUGUCCUCAUCUUUUUUUUUAUUAUUUGCUGGUAGCUUAUCUGACUGUCCUGAAAGAACUACACCAAUGUCACUCUGCAAACACAGGUGGAUCGGCUCGCCUGAUGGACACGAAGAGAGAAUAAAAGACGAGAUGAAUAGUGCAGUGCCGUGGAGGACGUUAAAUUAAUGAGUUGAUC
This is a long non-coding RNA of Xyrauchen texanus (razorback sucker), 691 nucleotides long. RefSeq lists it as uncharacterized. The transcript has 3 exons. Lineage: Eukaryota; Metazoa; Chordata; Actinopteri; Cypriniformes; Catostomidae. The record is from RefSeq and is a predicted model, not a curated record.